GGAAAAACUCCCUUGACGGUACUUAAUGAAUAAGCCCCGGCUAAUUAUGUGCCAGCAGCCGCGGUAAUACAUAAGGGGCGAGCGUUAUCCGGAAUUAUUGGGCGUAAAGGGUGCGUAGGCGGUUUAAUAAGUCUAUAGUUUAAUUUCAGUGCUUAACGCUGUUGUGCUAUAGAAACUGUUUUACUAGAGUGAGUUAGAGGCAAGCGGAAUUCCAUGUGUAGCGGUAAAAUGCGUAAAUAUAUGGAGGAACACCAGAGGCGUAGGCGGCUUGCUGGGACUUUACUGACGCUGAGGCACGAAAGCGUGGGGAGCAAACAGGAUUAGAUACCCUGGUAGUCCACACCGUAAACGAUGAGUACUAAGUGUCGGGUAAAACCGGUACUGAAGUUAACACAUUAAGUACUCCGCCUGAGUAGUACGUACGCAAGUAUGAAACUUAAAGGAAUUGACGGGACUCCGCACAAGCGGUGGAUCAUGUUGUUUAAUUCGAAGAUACACGAAAAACCUUACCAGGUCUUGACAUUUUCUUGCGAAGUUAUAGAAAUAUAAUGGAGGUUAUCAGGAAAACAGGUGGUGCAUGGUUGUCGUCAGCUCGUGUCGUGAGAUGUUAGGUUAAGUCCUAAAACGAGCGCAACCCUUGUCGUUAAUUGCCAGCAUGUAAUGAUGGGGACUUUAACGAGACUGCCAAUGAAAAAUUGGAGGAAGGUGGGGAUUACGUCAAAU
Molecule: ribosomal RNA, 723 nt
Filed under: Cassava frogskin disease phytoplasma
Lineage: Bacteria; Bacillati; Mycoplasmatota; Mollicutes; Acholeplasmatales; Acholeplasmataceae
Description: bacterial SSU rRNA
Rfam family: Bacterial small subunit ribosomal RNA
Source: RNAcentral